This 1405-nucleotide long non-coding RNA is filed under the name Bemisia tabaci. Its description in RNAcentral is "lncRNA ENSASIAIIG010588". The record is from RNAcentral. Lineage: Eukaryota; Metazoa; Arthropoda; Insecta; Hemiptera; Aleyrodidae.
CUCGAUUGUUUAUGUCCACGCGCGGAGCUUGCGGCGAGAGUGACCCCGGCUUCCGGCGAUUCGGAAGUCGGAGUUGGGCACGGAAGCUUCGGGCGUUGGCAUAAAAGCUCGCCGAAGACGCUUGAACAGGGUUAGGCGGCGUGAGGUUUCAAGACCCGAGACAACCCGGUCCAGCCCCUGUUAGAGCAGCUAUAGAAGUAGGCAAAGAAUAAAGUGUAAAUUGUCCCCUAAAGUGUGGUUCCGUCCCCCCCCCCCAUAGGGUUCCCACUAUCUUAGGCACAUCGAAUCUUAACAACGCAUUUUUAACGACCAAAAAUUAAGAGAGAAAUCAGAGUAAUAGUGCAUGCACAAAGCUGAAAGUAUCUUUGCCAUCCUGCUGAUUCUCCCAUAUUUCUGCCGCAAAGCAAUCGAUUUCAUGUCUAUUUCCUGUUCGAUCUUCAGUUUCCGGCUCCGGCCAGGAUACCGUUUCCGCCGUUUCCGGUCCUCCUGUUCGAGAAUGGAAUUUAUCAACCUAACCUACAAACCUUGCUACAAACCAUAAACAGAUAACGUGAACGAGACGUGGUCGACCGAACGCUUUAUCAGAUCCAGUGAAUUGACUUUGGACUUUCCUCACCACUCACGUGGAUAAUAAACAAACGUGAACGAGAAUAUACGCGAGUAAAAUUCGGUAAAUAUAUUCUCAAGUGUAUUCUCAGUAGUACAGAUUCUGAGCUUACGUAGUGAACACGAAAAAAUCUGUGGCACUUGUUCUAUUCUUGUUGGUCAUCGAUCACCAUUUCUUUUGCAUUGCCGUUUGAUGUUAAAAAAGUAAGCGGGAAUUGAUAAUGUCUUCUCCUUCAGUUUACAAAUAUUGCUUUGUGCCUAUGUGUGUCAGCUCAACAACGAAAACUCCGGAUAAAUUAUUCUUUAGCGUACCAAGGAAGCCUGAGUUACGAGCAGAGUGGUGCGCAGCCGUUCACAGACCUCCAGGAUUGUCAUGCAAAUCAAACUGCCACUGCUGCGAAGAUCAUUUUAAUUUAGCUGAAGAUGUCCAAGAGUAUACAAGGUUUUUAAUCCUGAAGAAAAACAAUAUGCCAUCAUUCCGAUUGUCCCUAAAACCUGGUGUAGUACCUCACAAAUUCGAUUGCCAGUCCAGCUGGAUUAAUGGCCGCAGAGUGUCAAGGAGAACAGCCAUGAAAAAGUUGAAUCUAAAUGACGCUCCAAGUUGAAAGGAAAAAUUGGAAUGCAUGUGGUGUACUGCUUGAGCUCUUCUCAAGACAGUUGGUUCGUGCAUAACAUGAGACAGCAGCAGCUGCAUGCUGGCGUUGGAUCACUUUGACUGGGUAAUGCAGCACAGCCAAUUCUAACUUGGCUCUAAAGCAACUCUACCUUUUAUAUUUUCUUGGUGUCUUCACGACGGCAG